RNAcentral lists this ribosomal RNA (437 nucleotides) under uncultured bacterium. RNAcentral describes it as "partial 16S ribosomal RNA". It matches the Rfam family "Bacterial small subunit ribosomal RNA", at positions 29 to 507 of the family's 1533-position model. The record is from RNAcentral.
AGCGAACGCUGGCGGCAGGCUUAACACAUGCAAGUCGAGCGGGCAUCCUUGUGGUGUCCGCGGCAGACGGGUGAGUAACGCGUGGGAACGUGCCCUUCGGUUCGUAAUAACUCAGGGAAACUUGAGCUAAUACCGGAUACGUGCGAGAGCAGAAAGGUUUAUCUGCCGAAGGAUCGGCCCGCGUCUGAUUAGCUAGUUGGUGAGGUUAUGGCUCACCAAGGCGACGAUCAGUAGCUGGUCUGAGAGGAUGAUCAGCCACACUGGGACUGAGACACGGCCCAGACUCCUACGGGAGGCAGCAGUGGGGAAUAUUGGACAAUGGGGGCAACCCUGAUCCAGCCAUGCCGCGUGAGUGAUGACGGCCUUAGGGUUGUAAAGCUCUUUUCUCCGGGACGAUAAUGACGGUACCGGAGGAAUAAGCCCCGGCUAACUUCGUG